UCCGGGGAGGAGCGGAGGCCACGCCGUCCCGCCCCUCUUGGGUCUCCGCCUUCAGUGCCUUGCUCCUUUGCCCUGGGACUCCCUUGGAUCUUGUGGCCUCCGUCCCUCUCCUUUAUUGACCUCAGCUGGCUGAAUCGUAGGGUUGAUUCAUCUUGUUUCUGAUAAGUUUGGUCCUGUGAGAAAUGACUACUGGCAGAAAAAUGAAGGAUAAAAGUGGAAAUGAGUACAUAACCACAGGAAAGCUGUUAGAGACAGAUGCCUGCAAAAAGCUGUCAUGUUGACCAUCCAAAUUGUCUUCUAUGCCCAGCUGGAUGGCCUCAGCGAUUUCCACCUCAUCUGCAAUAGCCAUCAGACGACGACGCAUCCUGGCUUGGGUAGAGAAAACAAUGGAGGAAAAAGACGUAAUGAAAUGUGAAGCAAAUCAAAUCUAAGCACCUAAUUUUUGAGACCAGUUACAAAUGACAGCAUGCGAUGGAAGGAGGAAGACAAAGGCUGGGCUGAGAGAGCUCCAAAUGGGUGUAAUGGCAGAGGCACAAGGGUGAGUCCAUGCUUCCUUACCACCUGAGACUGGCUGGAUGUGAAGAGGUGAGAACCACCAAACAACUGUUCCCAGCUAUGCUCACUAAGUGAAAAGUCAUCUUUUCCUCUCACUUCACAGAACGGGAAAAUAAAAGUGAACCAGUGGUCUCAUAAAGGCACAGCCUGAGCUUAUUUUACUAUGAUCAUGCCUCACUUCUCUACCUUACUGUUUCUACUCUCCCAGUUAGCAUUACUCUUGCUCCUUGUCAGUUUUUAUGGAUAUUGCAACGAUAUAUGCAAUUUGUUAUUGUUGUUUUAAACAUAAACUGUCAGAGUAAAAUUCCAUUACACAGCAAAUAUGGAAUGGUUGGGUUUUUUCAACCAGGUAUAAUGAUUUUAUAGGUUCCUAUCCUGUGUAACUCAUUCUCUAAAAUGAGAUUAUAUUUGUAUCAGCUACUAUUCUUACCAACUGGCCUUGAGAUUAAGGACAUUGCUUUAUAAUAAAAGAAAAUCACAACACAAUAAUGUGGUUAUCCAUGCAGUUUGUUAGCCUGGUUUUUACUUGCC
This is a long non-coding RNA of Prionailurus viverrinus (fishing cat), 1086 nucleotides long. RefSeq lists it as uncharacterized. NCBI's taxonomy places the organism in Eukaryota, Metazoa, Chordata, Mammalia, Carnivora, Felidae. The transcript is spliced from 4 exons. The record is from RefSeq and is a predicted model, not a curated record.